CAGCCGGUAGUAUAGCCAGGACUAGUAUGCGGGCCUGUCGAGCCCGUGACCCGGGUUCGGGGGAGAACCCGCCCAAAAAUCCCGGCCGGGGCGCCA
This 96-nucleotide transfer RNA is filed under the name Pyrobaculum sp. OCT_11. Its description in RNAcentral is "tRNA-Asp". Lineage: Archaea; Thermoproteati; Thermoproteota; Thermoprotei; Thermoproteales; Thermoproteaceae. The record is from RNAcentral.